AACGAACGCUGGCGGCAUGCCUAACACAUGCAAGUCGAACGAGACCUUCGGGUCUUUUGUCGCAUGGGUUCGUAACGCGUGGGAACCUUCCCUUAGGUUCGGAAUAACUCUCCGAAAGGGGUGCUAAUACCGGAUAAUGUCUUCUGACCAAAGAUUUAUCGCCUUUGGAUGUGCCCGCGUUGGAUUAGCUAGUUGGUAGGGUAAAAGCCUACCAAGGCGACGAUCCAUAGCUGGUCUGGGAGAAUGAUCAGCCACACUGGGACUGAGACACGGCCCAGACUCUUACGGGAGGCAGCAGUGGGGAAUAUUGGACAAUGGGCGAAAGCAUGAUGCAGCAAUGCCGCGUGAGUGAUGAAGGCAUUAGGGUUGUAAAGCUCUUUUACCCGGGAUGAUAAUGACAGUACCGGGAGAAUAAGCCCCGGCUAACUCCGUG
RNAcentral lists this ribosomal RNA (433 nucleotides) under uncultured bacterium. RNAcentral describes it as "partial 16S ribosomal RNA". It matches the Rfam family "Bacterial small subunit ribosomal RNA", at positions 29 to 507 of the family's 1533-position model. The record is from RNAcentral.